This 492-nucleotide ribosomal RNA is filed under the name uncultured bacterium. RNAcentral's name for it is "partial 16S ribosomal RNA". It matches the Rfam family "Bacterial small subunit ribosomal RNA", at positions 29 to 507 of the family's 1533-position model. The record is from RNAcentral.
AGUGAACGCUGGCGGUAGGCCUAACACAUGCAAGUCGAACGGCAGCACAGUAAGAGCUUGCUCUUACGGGUGGCGAGUGGCGGACGGGUGAGGAAUACAUCGGAAUCUACUUUUUCGUGGGGGAUAACGUAGGGAAACUUACGCUAAUACCGCAUACGAUCUACGGGUGAAAGCAGGGGAUCUUCGGACCUUGCGCGAUUGAUUGAGCCGAUGUCGGAUUAGCUAGUUGGCAGGGUAAAGGCCCACCAAGGCAACGAUCCGUAGCUGGUCUGAGAGGAUGAUCAGCCACACUGGAACUGAGACACGGUCCAGACUCCUACGGGAGGCAGCAGUGGGGAAUAUUCGACAAUGGGCGCAAGCCUGAUCCAGCCAUACCGCGUGGGUGAAGAAGGCCUUCGGAUUGUAAAGCCCUUUUGUUGGGAAAGAAAAGCAGCAGGUUAAUACCCCGCUGUUCUGACGGUACCCAAAGAAUAAGCACCGGCUAACUUCGUG